CCUACGGUGGCAUCAGUGGGGAAUAUUGGGCAAUGGGCGCAAGCCUGACCCAGCAACGCCGCGUGAAGGAAGAAGGCUUUCGGGUUGUAAACUUCUUUUAUCAGGGACGAAGCAAGUGACGGUACCUGAUGAAUAAGCCACGGCUAACUACGUGCCAGCAGCCGCGGUCAUACGUAGGUGGCCAGCGUUAUCCGGAUUUACUGGGUGUAAAGGGCGUGUAGGGGGGAGUGCAAGUCAGAUGUGAAAACUAUGGGCUCAACCCAUAGCCUGCGGUUGAAACUGGACGUCUUGAGUGCUGGAGAGGCAAGCGGAAUGCGGAGUGUAGCGGUGAAAUGCGUAGAUAUACGGAGGAACACCAGUGGCGAAGGCAGAUUGCUGGACAGUAACUGACGCUGAGGCGCGAAAGCGUGGGGAGCAAACAGGAUUAGAUACCCGGGUAGUC
RNAcentral lists this ribosomal RNA (442 nucleotides) under uncultured bacterium. RNAcentral's name for it is "partial 16S ribosomal RNA". It matches the Rfam family "Bacterial small subunit ribosomal RNA", at positions 338 to 795 of the family's 1533-position model. The record is from RNAcentral.